RNAcentral lists this long non-coding RNA (1441 nucleotides) under Gallus gallus (chicken). RNAcentral describes it as "lncRNA (ENSGALG00010007024.1)". The record is from RNAcentral. Lineage: Eukaryota; Metazoa; Chordata; Aves; Galliformes; Phasianidae.
UAGGUGACAGGUCAAGAACAACAACGGAAAUAACAGAAUAAAUGAAAUAACGGAAAUAAUAACGGAAAUAACAAAAAAAAAAAAAUGGAAAUAAGAACGGAAAUAACGGAAGUAACCUCCACAGAUACAGAAACUUACGGCAGAAAAUUUGGUGACAGGUCAAGAACAACAACGGAAAUAAUGGAAAGAAUGGAAAGAACAGAAAUAACCACCGAAAGACAGAAACAUACAGCAGAAAAUUAGGUGACAGGUCUAGAACAACAACGGAAAUAACGGAAAUAACGGAAAUAACGAAAAUAACAAAAAUAACGGAAAGAAUGGAAAGAACGGAAAGAACAGAAAGUAUAGAAAGAACGGAAAAUACGGAAAUAAUAACGGAAAUAACGGAAAUGAACUCCAGAGGGACAGAAACAUACAGCAGAGAAUUAGGUGACAGGUCAAGAAUAACAACGGAAAGAACGGAAAGAACGGAAAUAAUAACGGAAAUAACGGAAAUAACCUCCAGAGACAGAAACAUACAACAGAAAAUUAACUGACAGGUCAAGAAAAACAAUGGAAAUAACAGAAAAAACUGGAAUAAUGGAAAUAAUAAUGGAAAUAACUGAAAAAAAUAAGGGAAAAAAUAACAGAAAUAACGGAAAUAACGCAAAGAACCUUCAGAGAGACAGAAACAUACGGCAGAAAAUUAACUGACAGGUCAAGAACAACAACAGAAAUAAGGGAAAUAACGAAAAUAACGGAAAUAAUAACGGUAAUAACAAAAAUAACCUCCACAGAGACAGAAACAUACGGCAGAAAAUUAAAUGAAAGGUCAAGAACUACAAUGGAAAUAACUGAAAUAACGGAAAUAACCUCCGAAAGACAGAAACAUACGGCAGAAAGUUAGGUGACAGGUCAAGAACAAGCACGGAAAGAACGGAAAGAACGGAAAGAACCUCCAGAGAGACAGAAACAUACGGCAAAAAAUUAGGUGACAGGUCAAGAACAACAACGGAAAGCACGGAAAGCACGGAAAGAAUGGAAAGAACCUCCAAAGAGACAGAAACAUACUGCAAAAAAUUAGGUGACUGGUCAAGAACAAGAAAGGAAUUAACAGAAAAAAAAAAUGAAAUAACGGAAAUAGUAACGGAAAUAUCAGAAAUAAUAACAGAAAUAACGGAAAUAAUAACGGAAAUAACAGAAAUAAUAAGGAAAAAAUAAGGGAAAGAACGAAAAUAAUAAGGGAAAGAACGGAAAUAAUAACGGAAAGAACGGAAAAAAAAAACCUGAGAGACAGAAACAUAGAGCAGAAAAUUAGGUGACAGGUCAAAAACAACAACGGAAAUAACAGAAAAAAACGAAAUAACAGAAAUAAUAACGGAAAUAACGAAAAUAAUAACAAAAAUAACGGAAAUAAUGAAAAUAAUCUCAACUGCGACAGAAACAUACGGCAGAAAAUAAG